CUAUUGAAGAAAAGCAAAUCGAUUUGAACUAUACGAUUGUGAACAUCGGGUGUCAUCAGUCAGGUGACUACAAGUGUGAGGUGAACAACGGGCUGGGAAACGACAGUCAGACUGUCAGACUGCUAGUCUUGUGUGCUCCCAAAACAGAGAAUCAAGGUCAGCUUCCAUAUGUUGACAUCAGUAACAAUAAAGGACAUCUCAGUAUUAAGAUGACAUCCUACCCCACGCCAUACGUUACAAGUGUGACUUACAAACCUGUCGACGGUAAAGUCAGUCCACACACCUCGUUAUUAAACAACAAACUACACGUGACGUGUAUGUCCAUGCCUGUUGCCCCAGCCUCGGUGACCUGUGACCUCAGUGUGGCUAAUGUCACUCCGGCUGAUAAAGGCCUUUACACGAUGGUCUUCAGCAACAGUCUUGGCAACACAUCUUUCAAUUUCUUACUUACAUUUAAAGGUGUGUUUAUGCCUUUAGACAUGUCAUGAUGGUACAUGCGAGCGAAACAGUAACAAACGCAAAAAUCCUCUAAUUUUAUACACAAACAUUGAAUGUGUCACAUUAUCCAUUAUACAGUUUCCAUGUCAUGUACAAACCUUCACUCAUUUAUACUGUCCAGUCGUGCGUUCCAUGUAUUGGUGAACCUGUAAUGAGGGUCACAUUCGUCAUUUUUUGUUCCUGAUUUGAUUUUUGGGAGGACUAUGCAUGGACGUAAGCUCUAAAACAGCUUUAG
Long non-coding RNA from Pomacea canaliculata, 733 nucleotides. RefSeq lists it as uncharacterized. The record is from RefSeq and is a predicted model, not a curated record. Lineage: Eukaryota; Metazoa; Mollusca; Gastropoda; Architaenioglossa; Ampullariidae. The transcript is spliced from 2 exons.